Molecule: small RNA, 196 nt
Filed under: marine metagenome
Description: Cyano-2 RNA
Rfam family: Cyano-2 RNA
Source: Rfam by way of RNAcentral
GGCAGUGCCGGGAGAGCGACCCGGUAUCUGGCGGAAGAGUCCUCUGUUGAGAGCGAUCAACAGAGGACUUUUCUUAAUACUGAAAUCUGAAUUUAAGUAGUGCAUAUGGACGGUUUGCCUGUGCACUCAGGAACGUAUUCAGGUGGAUACCGCAUCGCUCGGGGAGGACAAGUUCCUCCUCGCGGUUCCCGUCUUU